Molecule: ribosomal RNA, 323 nt
Filed under: uncultured eukaryote
Lineage: Eukaryota
Description: partial 18S ribosomal RNA
Rfam family: Eukaryotic small subunit ribosomal RNA
Source: RNAcentral
CCCUUAGACGUUCUGGGCCGCACGCGCGCUACACUGACGAAGGCAACGAGCUUUCCUUUACCGAAAGGUACGGGUAAUCUUUUGAAACUUCGUCGUGCUGGGGAUAGAUCCUUGCAAUUUUUGAUCUUAAACGAGGAAUGCCUAGUAAGCGCAAGUCAUCAACUUGCGUUGAUUACGUCCCUGCCCUUUGUACACACCGCCCGUCGCUACUACCGAUUGAGUGCUCAGGUGAAUAAUUCGGACUGCAGCAAUGUUUGGAUCCCGAACGUUGCAGCGGAAAGUUUAGUGAACCUUAUCACUUAGAGGAAGGAGAAGUCGUAACA